RNAcentral lists this ribosomal RNA (459 nucleotides) under uncultured bacterium. RNAcentral describes it as "partial 16S ribosomal RNA". It matches the Rfam family "Bacterial small subunit ribosomal RNA", at positions 338 to 795 of the family's 1533-position model. The record is from RNAcentral.
CCUACGGGAGACUGCAGUGAGGAAUAUUGGUCAAUGGGCGGGAGCCUGAACCAGCCAAGUCGCGUGAAGGAAGAAGGUACUUAGUAUUGUGAACUUCUUUUGUCGGGGAACAAAGGCGGAGACGCGUCUCCGGAUGAGUGUACCCGAAGAAAAAGCAUCGGCUAACUCCGGGCCAGCAGCCGCGGUAAGACGGGGGAUGCGAGCGUUAUCCGGAUUGAUUGGGGUAAACGGGUGCGCAGGCGGGAGAUCAAGUCAGCGGUAAAAUGUCGGGGCUCAACCCCGGCCGGCCUGAGAAACUGGUUUUCUAGAGUUGGAGAGAAGUAUGCGGAAUGCGUGGGGUAGCGGUGAAAUGCAUAGAUAUCACGAAGAACUCCGAUUGCGAAGGCAGCAUACCGGCUCCAUACUGACGCUGAGGCACGAAAGCGUGGGGAUCGAACAGGAUUAGAUACCCCAGUAGUC